GGAGCUUUUUCUUUUUUUUGGUAGGGUGGGGGGACCCCUUUUCUGAAAAGAGGACAGCUUCAUAGACGGCAAGAGACGUGGGCGGCCAGGCGGGUAGGUGCUGACUGGUGAACAGGAAGAGCAAGUAGUGACUUGCUGAGGAAGACACAAACAGGGAAAAAAAAAAAAAAACUAGAUAUCUGGGGGGAAGCUUCAGAGAGACGAGAGAGCUUUUGGUGGGUUUUAGGGGGAGAGAACGGUGAGAAGAGGAAAGAUUCCGGGAGCUUUUGGGGGAGUUUUUCGGAAGCAUUGUAGCCUUUUUUCUAGGAUAGCUGGGAGAGAAGGCGGCUAUAGGAGGAGUUUUUCAUCAGAGAGCUUAAGGGGGAUGUACCUUUGAGAAGGGGCGGGCUUUUUUGGGGGGGUGGCUAGGCUGAGAGAGAUAACCAGAGAGAGGGAAUUACCGAAGGAGCAAGGGAAGAUAGAGUUGCAGGGAGGCAAAGGAAACGCUCCCAGUUCCCUUUCUCUCUCUCUCUUGAAACAGCUUUAUGGAUGAGGCUCCAUGUUUGUCUCAUGUGAUAUCUCUUGUAAUGAGUUGCAUGGUCAUGUACACAAUGAUGAAUACGGAGGGUGUACACGCAUCAUAUGUUGCUUGUGGGUGUUUGGCAUACUGCUGCAGUUGUGGAAUUAGUGAUUGCAUCCUCUAGUUCUGCAUGAAAGUGAGUGGAGGAGUGGAUUGGUAUGGGAUACUUGGCAUAAUCCCCUUGGCCGAUGAGGGAACUGUGAAGAAACAAUGCAGGGAGCUGGCUCUUAUGCUUUAUCCUAAUAAAAACAAGUCCAUUGGUGCAGAUGGUACAUUUAAGUUUGUUUCAGAGGCUUGGAGUUUAUUAUCUGGCAAGAGCAAGUAUUUGCUGAAUGUUUCCCACUGAUGGCAUUGUUUAAACAAAUUGGUGGAUAAAAGUCAAAGACAUAGUUUUUUUAUAUUA
This is a long non-coding RNA of Vitis vinifera (wine grape), 962 nucleotides long. RefSeq lists it as uncharacterized. Lineage: Eukaryota; Viridiplantae; Streptophyta; Magnoliopsida; Vitales; Vitaceae. The transcript has 2 exons. The record is from RefSeq and is a predicted model, not a curated record.